This is an RNA transcript of Vitis vinifera (wine grape), 10401 nucleotides long. It is a transcript of the gene named OVARIAN TUMOR DOMAIN-containing deubiquitinating enzyme 12, with no coding region annotated. The record is from RefSeq and is a predicted model, not a curated record. Lineage: Eukaryota; Viridiplantae; Streptophyta; Magnoliopsida; Vitales; Vitaceae. The transcript has 3 exons.
UCAAGAGUUCUCAUUUUCAACUACUAAGUUUUCAUUCAGAGAACUUACUAGUAAAUUUAUGCUGUUGGAUAGGUUGAUUUUUUUACUGAUGUUGUAAGUAAUAUUUCCAAUGUUGAUUCUGGUUUCUCCUUUUUAAGGAUUUAUGCCUGUGUUCAUCUUCCUAUCUUGCACCAUGUAGGGUUGAUAUCUUUAAAAUCUUAAAUAAAUGCAAAGCAUAGCAUGAUGAUUUUGCUGUUUAUAACAGUUGUCAUUUUUCUUAAGGUUGUAGUCAGUUGCCUUAAGGUGCCCUUCAUUUGAGCUAUCUCCAUUGUGAUGAACAGCCCAUCACCGUUCAUGCGGUGCCAUAGCAUUCAGUGCAUUUCUUCAUCAAAUUACAACCUGAAAACACACAAACCAGUUCUACUUCCCUUCACUGUUCCAUAUCGAUUUACACUAUGGUAAGAGUCAAAUGUACUAGUUCUUGCUCAAACAUCAACUCAAAAUCAAGAUGUUUCCAAGCAGUAGAAGGGUUAUGAAAGUAGCGAGAAGGGUAAGGGUGCGUCCUAGAACUUUCCCUAAGUAAGCUCGCAACUAGGAUGACAUGAGCAAGCUAAAUUAUGAAACAUCACCUAUGAAUUCUCCCAAUAUGUUGGAAACAACAAGAAUGGAGUAACCAAGCUUUGCCUCACCUUAGCUUAGAAACUUGGUCACUCAUUGUGGCAACACAAAGUGAACAAGAGCAGAAAAUUGAAACUUUAAAUUUUAUGAGUAAAAAUUCAUUUUGACAACUACAUUCUUAACUUCCUGUUGAAGAGGAUAACUAAAACUAUCCUUACAUUUCUUCCUCUCCCCUUCUUCUUGCAUCAAGCCACCCUUCACCUCUCUUAAAUAGAACUAUUUUCACACUCUUUUCCAACGGAUAGGAGACAAAGAUAGCAUGGGCAGCUUGGGGUACAACUGGCAGCAACUUGAAGUAAGGAUGGCAGUGACUUUUCUCAGCAUGGACAGUAGUUGUAGAGGUUAUUUUAGGCAUGGAAAGUAGAUGGAAAAGGUGCCUAAGAUAGCUGGAAAAGGUUGGUUCCCAUGGUUGGAUGAUGUGAUGGUCAAUAGUUGAAAAAUAUGGCAGCCAUAGAGCGGAGAAUGUGGCAGCCAAUAGCAUGAAAAUAUAGGCAGUUGGCAAAAUGUGAUGUAAACAUGCCAAAAACUAAGGAAAAUACCAAAAAGCACAUUAGACUAAAAGUUAGGGACUUGGUAAUAAAACUAGGUAAAGUGAUGUAUUUAGAACUUAAUAUCAAAUAGAAAUGUUUAAGUUAAGGCAAAAAAAGAAAAAGAAAAAAAGGGACAAACUAAGUGAUGGCCAAUGUUCGGAAAAUAUGGCAGCUAUAGAGCAGAGAAUGUGGCAGCCAAUAGCAUGAAAAUAUAGUCAAUUGGAAAAAUGUGAUGUAAAAAUGCCAAAAAAUAGAUGUAAACAUGCCAAAAACUAAGGAAAAAGCCACAAAACACAUUAGACUAAAAAAAUAGUGACUUAGUAAUAAAACUGGGUAAAGUGAUGAAUUUAGAACUUAAUAUCAAAUAUAAAUGUUUAGGUUUAGGCAAAAAAAAAAAAAAAAAAAAAAAGACAAAACUAAAUUUUUCCAUAGGAUGACUAAUGCACAUGAAAAGAGGCAAUCUUAUAAAUAGUUCAAGUAUGAAUGGGUUUGCUUUAUGUUCAUUCAUUCAAAGGACCCUUGCCAGGAGUCCCAUUAUGGGAGCUUUUUUCAGGUCCAUUGCCUCUAUUGAUAAAGAGGGGUUGGAAAGGCUUUUUGGAGAGGAAGAGGUUCUGAAGGCUUCAUCUAGUUUAUGGAGUGACAAAGCUCUAGGUCCAGAUUGUUCUUUAGCAAUUUUGUUAGCCUGUUGUAGAAAGGGAUGAUAUUUGAGUUCUUGGAGGAAUUCCAUGCAAAUGGAUCUUUUGAAAUAAGUCUUAAAUACUAUUUUUGUAGUUCUUAUUCCUAAAAAGAAUAGGGGUAGAGGAUGUCAAAGACUUUAGACUUAUCAAUGAUCUUAGAAGCCUUUAUAAGAUCUGGCAUAAAUUUUGUUAAAGAGACUGAAGAAGGUCAUUAGAAAGGUUGAGUCAGAAUCUUAAAAUGCUUUUAUGGGGAGUAGACUAAUUUCAGAUGUUGCUUUGAUCAUAAAUGAGGUAAUAAAUUCCAGUGAGAGGGGCUUGGAUGAGGGUUUAUUGUGCAAAUUAGAUAUCAAGAAAGUGUAUGAUCACAUGAAUUAGAAGUUUUUUUCUUUCUGUUAUGGAUCAAAUUGGUUUUGGGCAUAGAUAGGUGGGUUGCAUUAGUUACUGCAUUUCUGCAGCCAGUUUUUUUUUUUUUUGGUUGGUGAAUGACUAUCCUACAAGCUUUUUUCAGACCUCUAGAAAUUUUAGGUACCUAUUUAUUUGUGUUGCUAAUGGAAGCCCCUAGUGAGGAUACAUUUCAAGGGUCAUGCAAGAGGGGCUUAUUAUUGGCUUCAGGUUGGUGGAAGGAAAGGAUUAGGGCAGGAAACUCAUCCUCUCUUUCCAGAUGAUACCUGGUUGUUUUGUAAGGCUUGUGAGGAGCAGUUGAGAUAUCUUCAGUAGGUUCUGACUUACUUUAAGCUAGUGUUUGGAUCGAAGCUUAAUUUAUAAAACAGUGAGAUGAUCCUGGUGGAGAAGGUGAAGGGGGUGAAGACUUGCUUCUUUGCUUAGUUGCGGGGUGGAACUACCUAUCUAGGACUGCCUUUGGGUACUUCUCUUAACUCCUGCUUAGCAUAGGAUUCAGUGGAGGACUGCUGAAGAGGAGGCUGUCUUCUUGGAUGAAUCAAUGCUUGUUCGUAUGUAAACUGAAACUUAUUAAAAAUACUCUUUGAAGCAUGUCAAUUUAUUUCAUGUUGUUGAUUGUCAUUCCCAACAUAGUUAAAAAUAGGCUAGAGAAGAUCUAAGAAACUUCUUGUGGGGGAAUCAAGUAGAGGGGAUAAAGCUUCAUCUAGUGAGUUGGUCAAACAUGUGUGUGGGUAAAAAGGAUGGCAAUUGGGAAUCAUAAGGUUUUCUACUUUAAAUUGGGCCUUGUUUGCUAAGUGGUUGUGGGGAUAUAUACCCAAAUAACUUGUGAAAGAGGGUCACUAAGGGCAAGUUUGGGGCGUUAGAUCAAUGAUAGAGUACCCUGGAGGUGAGAGAGGUAUUUAGGGAGGAAUGUGGAAAGCCAUUAGAAGGGAAUGAUAAGAGGUUAAGAUCAAAAGUUUAAUCUUGAUUAGGGAUGGCAAUUUUAUGGGUAAUUCGGGUCACCUGACCCGCCCCACCCCUAUUGGAACGGGUAUGGGAAUAUCCUAUUCGGGUAUAGAAUGGGUUUGGGGAAUAUAUAAAAACCCGAAUUGGGUUUAGGGUGGGGAUGAGUUUUUUAGUUUCCGCCCCGCUCGUAUGUGAAUUACCAAUUCACCCUUAUGUCAUUACAAAAUACCCAAAAAGUGCUCCAUAUAUAAUCAUUUCUUCCUAAAGUUUUAAGGUUCUUUCACUCGUAAAAGAGUCAGAGGGCUUUCGUUCUCAUUUCUUCCCGUUUUCUCAUUUCUUCCUAAAUUGCUCAGGGUUUUUUUUCCUUGUAAGAGGGCGUUCGUUUUCUCAUUUCUUCCUAAAUUGCUUCUUCCCGUUUCACCCUAAAAGCACAAUUUUUGCUUUGAAAACCAGAAUACCAAAUUCGUAGACAACAAAUUAUUAGAGUUUCUAUGGAUUCCUCACUUCCAGGUAAGAAAACCCUAAGUUUUGAGGUUUUGUUAGAAAUGUCUUGUUUUUCAUAUUUUCUGGUUUUAGUUGAUGGAUUUGAGAUUUUUUGGAUUGUUUAUUUGUAGAUUUGUGCAUUUUGUUCUCGUAUGUGCAGUUUGCAAUUUUGUUGCACAACAAAUGUUUGAUUAAAUGUGGAUGAGGAGACAACACAACAUGGGUGUUGUCGGAGUAUGAAUCAUUUUGAAAGAGGUUCUUUGUAGCUUAAAUAUGAUAACCCAGAUAGCGUUUAUUGAAAUUCCAGAGACUCAUGUUCUGUAAAAGCAUAAUUCCCGAAAAUACAUUUGGGACGGGGAUGGGAUUAUCAUCUCUUUUGUAAAUGGGCAUGGGGGACACCAACUCGCCCUGCCCCGGGUUUGGGACGGGGAUGGGAAAAAAAAUGUAUAACCGAGACGGAAAUGGGGUAGGGGUGGCCCGUCCAUACCCGCCCUGUUGCCAUCCCUAAUCUUGAUGGGGAAUAGAUUAAGGACCAAGUUUUAGCGGAUAGGUGGAUUGGGGAGCAUUCUUUGAGGAAAGCCUUUCCAUCUCUUUGUACUCUUGCAUGGUCAAGAAUGGAAGAGUGACGGAUAUAUGCGUGGUGAAGGGAGAUCAAGGUCAUUGGAACCCCUUUUUUUGUAGCUCCUUUCAGGUUUGGUAUUAAGAGGUGGUGGGUUUGUUUUAUGGAGUUCGUUCAUUCCAUGGGAGUGCUUCGGGUGGGAGUGGAUAGAACAGUUUGUCAGGGAGCAAAGAAGGGAUGGUGUUUGGUAAAAUCUUAUAACAAUUUUUUGUAGGGGAGGAAGGGGAAUAAAGGUCAGGAGUGGUAAGAGAUUCCUAUGAAGUUAGGGUAUGUAAAGAGAUUGGGAAGCAAUGGAAGCUUUUUAAUUCAAUGAUUUCCUUUGAGGUGGACGAUAGGUGUAGGGUGAAGUUUUGGAAAGACAAGUGUAGUGAAGAGCCCUUAUGUGAGACUUUCCCAUCCUUGUUUGCCUUAUUUGAUUCUAAAGAGGUAUGGGUAGUUGAUUUGUGGGAACAUUGAGGAGGAGGAAAUUGGAACUUCUGUUUGGUUAGGAACUUGAAUGAUUGUGAGUUGGGUGUUAUGAAGUGUUUUCUUUCUAAACUUCAAGGACAUUUAGUGAAAAGGGAGCAAGAGGAUAGAGUAGUUUGGAAGGGUUAUAGCAAAGGGGUUUUCUCUGUAAGGGGGCUUUAUUCUUUGCUAGAGAAUGAUAGUACUAUCCCUUUCCUUUUAAAGAUAGUUUGGAACCCAUGGAUUCCUUCAAAGGUGAGUUUCUUCACUUAGGAGGCUUGUUGGGGAAAUGUUUGGACUUUGGAUUAGCUUCAACGAAGAUGGUGGAUUUUGACCAAUGAGCGUGCAUUGUGCAAAGAGGAGUUAAAGUCCAUUGAUCACAUUCUUCUUCAUUAUGACAAGACGAGAUUAUUAUGGCGGUUGGUGUUCAGUGGGUUAUUUUUUAGUCAAUUAGGGAGACCCUCCUUGGGUGGCGUGGGUCUUUUACAGAGAGAAGAUGUAUUAAGGCUUGGAGAGUAGCUCAUUGCAUUUUCUGGACAAUCUGGAAGGAAAGAAAGAGGAGAUACUUUGCCCUCUCAGAUCUAAACGGGGACAAGGCUCCUGGUCCAGACGGCUUUUCUCUCAGCUUUUGGCAGUUUAGCUGGGAUUUUGUGAAAGAUGAGGUUAUGGGCUUUAUGAAGGAGUUCCACGAGCAUGGCAGAUUUGUGAGGAGCCUGAAUUCAACUUUCCUAGUCCUUACCCCUAAAAAACCGGAUGCGGAGGACCUUAAAGAUUUCAGACCGAUUAGCUUGAUAGGUGGAUUGUAUAAACUGUUGGCAAAAGUGCUAGCAAACAGGAUCAAGAAAGUGGUGGGAAAGGUGGUGUCUUCAGCUCAAAACGCCUUUGUUGAAGGAAGACAAAUUUUGGAUGCUGCCCUAAUUGCCAAUAAGGCAAUAGAUUCAUUGCUGAAGAGAAAUGAGAGUGGGGUGUUGUGUAAGCUAGAUAUAGAGAAGCCGUACGAUCACUUGAAUUGGAAUUUUCUACUAUUGGUAUUGCAAAGAAUGGGGUUUGGGGAGAAGUGGACUGGCUGGAUCUCCUGGUGUAUCUCCACAACGACGUUUUCAGUCUUGAUCAAUGGCACUCUAGCCGGUUUUUUCAAUAGUUCAAGGGGUUUGCGUCAGGGGGAUCCUCUCUCUCCCUACCUAUUUGUUAUCGGGAUGGAGGCUUUUAGUAAGCUCAUCCUUAGAGCAGUGAGGGGGGGUUUUCUUUCGAGCUGCAGGAUAAAAGGAAGAAGUGGAGACGGGGCUGUGGUAACUCAUUUGCUGUUCGCCGAUGAUACUUUAGUUUUUUGUGAAGCUUCCCAAGAUCAUAUGACUCAUAUAAGCUGGUUGUUGAUGUGGUUUGAAGCCAUAUCAGGUUUGAAGAUUAAUUUGGAUAAGAGCGAGAUUUUGCUGGUUGGGAGAGUAGAGAAUUUGGAGGCUUUGGCUCUUGAGGUUGGUUGUAAAGUGGGAAGGCUGCCAAAUUCUUACUUGGGGAUCCCUUUGGGGGCGAAUCACAAGUCCGUGGCUGUUUGGGAUGGGGUGGAAGAGAGAUUUCGGAGAAGGCUUGCCUUGUGGAAAAGGAAUUAUAUCUCCAAAGGCGGUAGAAUUACCCUAAUUCGUAGUACUUUGUCAAGUAUGCCCAUAUACUUGAUGUCUUUACUUCGAAUUCCAAGAGUGGUUAGUUUAAGAUUGGAAAAAAUUCAAAGGGAUUUUUUGUGGGGGGGAGGAGCUUUGGAGAGGAAGCCUCAUCUAGUAAAUUGGGAUUCCGUGUGCUCGGACAUAAGGAAGGGUGGCUUGGGAGUUAGAUGUUUGUCUACUCUCAAUAGAGCCCUUUUAUGCAAGUGGAACUGGCGGUUUGCGAAUGAAAGGGAGGCUCUUUGGAGGGAAGUCAUUAGUAGGAAGUUCGGGGAGGAAGAAGGGGGCUGGUAUACUAGAGAAGUUAGGGAGGGGUUUGGAGUAGGCUUGUGGAAGGAAAUAAGGAAGGAAGGAGCUCUCUUGCAAAACAAAGUUGUCUUUUCUGUGGGGAAUGGUAGAAGGGUGAAAUUUUGGAAUGAUAAUUGGUGUGGGAAUUUCUCUCUCAGUAAUUUGUUUCCCUCUUUGUAUACCUUUGCUUCAUUUAAAGAGGUUUGGCUAGUGGAGUUAUGGGAUUAUUCGGGAGAUGAAGGGGUUUGGAAUCCUAGCUUCUCUAGGUCCUUUAAUGACUGGGAGGUGGAGGGGGUGGAGAGAUUACUUCUGACAAUCCGGGGUAGGAGGCUUAAUCCUCUUUUGGAAGAUAGAAUGCUGUGGAAAGAUACUAAAGAUGGGAUUUUCUCAGUUAAGUCCCUUUAUAGUUUGCUAGCUUCAAGAAGAGAUGUUCAGUUCCCUUAUAGUAAUAUUUGGAGUAUUUGUGUGCCUACCAAAGUGAGCUUCUUUGCUUGGGAAGCUUAUUGGGGUAAGGUGCUAACCUUGGAUCAACUUAAAAAGAGGGGCCGGUCUCUAGCUAACAGAUGCUUCCUUUGUGGUAUGGAAGAAGAGUCAAUUGAUCAUAUUCUUAUUCAGUGUUCUAAGGCAAGAGGGUUAUGGGAGUUAUUGUUUGCUCUGUUUGGUGUUACUUGGGUCCUCCCUUCUUCGGUUAGAGAUACUAUUAGUGGUUGGUGUGGCUUUAAGUUGGGCAAGAAGCGUAGGAAGGUGUGGAACGCAGCCCCUUUGUGCAUUUUUUGGGCGGUUUGGAAGGAAAGAAACAGGAUAGCUUUUGAUAAUGAAGAGUUAUCAAUUCAUAGGUUGAAGAAUUCUUUUGUUUGUAAUCUUUGGCUGUGGACUAAAUCGGUUGUAAAUGAGGGUCCUCUUCCUUUGAUCAAUUUUUUUGAUUGGCUAGGCGCUAGUUGAGGGCUGGUAUUGUAUCUCUAUUUCUUUUUGUGCCUAUUGGCGCCUCUUGUAUACAUCCUGUAUGCUUGGGUCAGCCUCAAGGCGCCCUUUUCUAAUAUAUUUUUGUUGUGUGUUUGCCUACCAAAAAAAAAAGAAAGAGGAGAUACUUUGAUAGUGAAAAAUUGUCUGAUCAAAAUCUAAAAAAUAUAUAUCUAAACAAUUUCUCUGUGUGGGUCAGGGCAUAUAUAGGUGGAGGAUAUACACAUAUAGUUGAUUUCAUAGAUUAGUUGGGUUUUGGAUGAGAGGGGGGGUAUUUUUUUUUGUAUUCUCUCAUGUUUUUUUCUUAGUUCUCUUUGUAUAUGACAUGUAUAUUCUUUUGCGCUUUUUGCGUUUUUAUUAAUACAACCUCUUACAUAUCAAAAAAAAGAAAAAAAACUUACUUUGGUUGCUCAAUUGUUUGUACAAAUAAGAGAAAAGGGGGUUUUGGUAUUAGCAAUCUCUCUUUUUUGUAUUAGGCUCUUAUUGGCAAGUUUAGCUCGAAAUAUGUGGGAAAGUUUUUUGUAAGUAGAUUAUGGUGGGGAAGUAUGAGAAGGAAGGAGUGGGUUGGCACCCUUAUGAAUUUACAUGUGAUUAUAGGGUUGGGUUGGUCUCUGGAAAGCUAUUAGGAAGAUGUGAGAUUUUUUCUUUAAUAAAACCUCCUUUGAAGUGGGUAAUGACAAAAAGGUUGAGUUUUGGAUGGACAGAUGGUAUGUAGAGGAGCCCUUGUGUAAUUCUUUUCCCUUUUUAUAUGUGUUGGCUCUAUCAAAGGAGGCUUGGAUGGCGGAAUUGUGGAAAGACAUAUAAGGGGGGAUAUUGGUUCCCACGUUUCACUAGGCAUUUUAAUGAUUGGGAGUUGGAAGUUGUUGAGACUUUGUUUUCCAUGUUGUGAUAAAAGAUAAUUAGAAGGGCAAUUUAAUGAUUAGGUGAUUUGGAAAGAAGCUAAAAAAUGACUAUUUUUAGUCAAAUCUUUCUAUGUGGCUUUGGAAGUGGGGAGGACGGUCCUUUUUCCAAAGAAAAUAUCUAGAACCCAUGGGUCCAAUCUAAAGUGAGUUUUUUUGCAUGAGAAGCUAGUUAGGGAAAAGUUUUGACUUUAGAUAAUCUCCAAAAAAGAGGGCGAUCAGUAGUGAAUAGAUGCUAUCUGUGCAAAUUAGAUGGGAAAUCUAUUGACCUUAUUCUUCUUCACUCCAAAGCAAGGAUUCUAUGGUGCCUAUUGUUUUCCUUAUUCAGUGUAGAUUGAGUGAUCCCUUCUUUGGUGAAAGAUACCCUUUUAAGUUGGCAGGACUCCUUUGUAGGAAAGAAAAAGAAAAAGGUGUGGAAAGUCACCCCCUUUUGCAUUUUUUGAACAAUUUGGUGGGAGAGUAAUCAAAGAGUUUUUUAAGAUAAGGAUUAGAAUAAUCAAAAUUUAAAACUUUUGUUCCUAUGUAAUCUUUUAGCUUGGGUUAACAUGUACAUAAGUGAAGACACAAUGCCUUUGUUUGAUUUUAUAGAGUGGGUAGGGUCCAGUUGAGUGUCAUGGGUGUUUUUUGUGUACACCUCAUUUGAGGCCUUACCUUAGGUGCUCCUUGUAUACAUCCUAUGUACUCUGAUGUACCUUUUUCUAUUACUAACUUAUACAUGCCUAUCAUUACCUAUUAAAAAAAAAACUUUAUUUACCUAUCAGAAAAAGAAAAAAGAAAAAAAAGGAGACCCAUCAUAGAAGACAUUUAUAUAGGAAAUAGAUCAAACACAUUUGUUUAAGAUUAGAAUUUUGAGAGUUUAUUACUACACCAUAAAUAUGUGAUAUCCCUAUUGGUACUUAUCUAAGGCAAGAUAGAAACGUUUCUUUCAUCCCAAGAACUUUGCCUUACAUCAACAGGAAUGAUACCUCAUUUUAUUUUUAUCUCACAUUUCUUAUUAUUAUUAGAAGAAACAAAUAAACUUGAUAAGAUAAUGAGCUGAGAACAAAAAUGGCUGGAUGACAGGGUAUAGAUCUGCAAGUAAGUUUAAUAUUUUGACAGCUAAUUACUUUAUUUUGGUACAUGAGGUCAAACUUGGAACCUCUUUAUCCCCAACCCUAACUUUUUGUCACUUGAGCCAUGCCUUAGGGAGUUAAUUCUACAAAUAUAUAGUUACUUGUUUGACUAUUUAAGUAAGCAACAAGGAGAUAAUUGUAAAAUUAUAACAUAGUAAUCAUUAUUAAUACAAUUCCUUUCUUUUUAUGAACUGUAAUAAGAUAAUGAGAUGGCAUUUUCUGAUAGUGGCUAUGCUUUUUAUUGUAAUAAUUCUUAUAAUUAAUAAUGCAACUGUGUAACAAUAAUUAGUAUAUUAUAAAUGGUAUGAUACUAGUAAGCAAUAUUAUUAUUAUUAUUUGCAAAAUAAUUAUUUUACAAUGGCAAAAUAUAUAUAUAUAUAUAUGUUAUUUCUCAUAAAAUGUAGGCACUUUUUGUAAUAUAUAGCUAUUAGUGAAAUAUUGAUAGCACAACUAUUACAAUAAAAAGAUCAUACUUUGACGAUUAAUAUUCUUUUAUGGUAAUUAUUUGUGAAGGGGUAGGAAAUAUAUGGCUUUUUAGAAGUUGUUGAUCCACUGCUGCUGCAUUGACAUGCUUUUUAUAUGGGAAUGAUGUCCCUAGCAACAAAUGGAGCAUUCUAAUUGGACUUGCCAAGCUGUAAUGCUUUUGAGCUUUUGGGCAGAGGUUCACUACAACUCAAUAUAUUUUAAAGGAGAUGUGCCUGAAUUUGAGACUAAGAAGAAGAAGAGAUGGUGG